GACGAACGCUGGCGGCGUGCCUAACACAUGCAAGUCGAACGGGGUUGCGGAAGCUUGCUUCUGCAGCUUAGUGGCGAACGGGUGAGUAACGCGUGAGGAACCUGCCUUUCAGUGGGGGACAACAGUUGGAAACGACUGCUAAUACCGCAUAAUGUGUUUUGGGGGCAUCCCCGAGACACCAAAAGCUUUAUGUGCUGAAAGAUGGCCUCGCGUCUGAUUAGAUAGUUGGUGAGGUAACGGCUCACCAAGUCUGCGAUCAGUAGCCGGUCUGAGAGGAUGAACGGCCACAUUGGGACUGAGAUACGGCCCAG
This 311-nucleotide ribosomal RNA is filed under the name uncultured bacterium. RNAcentral's name for it is "bacterial SSU rRNA". It matches the Rfam family "Bacterial small subunit ribosomal RNA", at positions 28 to 334 of the family's 1533-position model. The record is from RNAcentral.